RNAcentral lists this non-coding RNA (221 nucleotides) under Beauveria bassiana. RNAcentral's name for it is "Lysine sequence". It matches the Rfam family "Lysine riboswitch aptamer". Rfam says of the family: Riboswitches are metabolite binding domains within certain messenger RNAs that serve as precision sensors for their corresponding targets. Allosteric rearrangement of mRNA structure is mediated by ligand binding, and this results in modulation of gene expression. Lineage: Eukaryota; Fungi; Ascomycota; Sordariomycetes; Hypocreales; Cordycipitaceae. The record is from RNAcentral. RNAcentral also lists the same sequence under 1 other name.
CAGGCCAGAAGAGGCGCGUUGCCCAGAAAAUCGUAUCCGAGGAACCAGUAACAAGGACGAUACGUGAGGGGGAGCAACGCCGAGAUGAUAAAGCGGCUGGUCACGCUUAUUGUCGGCUGCAGGGGCUGAAUCCUCUGGGUUGUCACCAGAAACGUUCGCAGUCGAGCGUUUCAUAUCCGGCUCAAAAGGCUGGAUAGACAAGGUGGAGCACUUCUGGGUAA